GAUGAACGCUAACUACAGGCUUAACACAUGCAAGUCGAGGGGAAACGACAUCGAAAGCUUGCUUUUGGUGGGCGUCGACCGGCGCACGGGUGAGUAACGCGUAUCCAACCUGCCCAUCACUUGGGAAUAACCUUGCGAAAGUAAGACUAAUGCCCAAUGACAUUUAUAGAAGGCAUCUGAAAUGAAUUAAAGAUUUAUCGGUGAUGGAUGGGGAUGCGUCUGAUUAGCUAGUUGGCGGGGCAACGGCCCACCAAGGCGACGAUGCGUAGGGGUUCUGAGAGGAAGGUCCCCCACACUGGUACUGAGACACGGACCAGACUCCUACGGGAGGCAGCAGUGAGGAAUAUUGGUCAAUGGGCGCAGGCCUGAACCAGCCAAGUCGCGUGAGGGAAGACGGUCCUACGGAUUGUAAACCUCUUUUGUCGGGGAGUAACGUGCGGGACGCGUCCCGUAUUGAGAGUACCCGAAGAAAAAGCAUCGGCUAACUCCGUG
This 492-nucleotide ribosomal RNA is filed under the name uncultured bacterium. RNAcentral's name for it is "bacterial SSU rRNA". It matches the Rfam family "Bacterial small subunit ribosomal RNA", at positions 28 to 507 of the family's 1533-position model. The record is from RNAcentral.